GUAGUCCUGGCCCUAAACGGUGUUCACUUGGUGUGCGGGGAGUCGACCCCCUGCGUGCCGAAGCUAACGCGAUAAGUGAACCGCCUGGGAAGUACGACCGCAAGGUUAAAACUCAAAGAAAUUGACGGGGGCCCGCACAAGCGGUGGAGCAUGUGGCUUAAUUCGAUGCAACGCGAAGAACCUUACCUGGCCUUGACAUGCUGGUAGUAGAAGCCCGAAAGGGUGACGACUCCUCGCAAGAGGAGAGCCAGCACAGGUGCUGCAUGGUUGUCGUCAGCUCGUGUCGUGAGAUGUUGGCUUAAGUGCCGCAACGAGCGCAACCCCUGUGUUUAGUUGCCUGCGAAAGCGGGAUCUCUAAACAGACUGCCUCGCUUUAAACGAGGA
This 384-nucleotide ribosomal RNA is filed under the name uncultured bacterium. Its description in RNAcentral is "bacterial SSU rRNA". It matches the Rfam family "Bacterial small subunit ribosomal RNA", at positions 790 to 1167 of the family's 1533-position model. The record is from RNAcentral.